CCUACGGGUGGCUGCAGUGAGGAAUCUUGCGCAAUGGGCGAAAGCCUGACGCAGCGACGCCGCGUGGAGGAUGAAGGUCUUCGGAUUGUAAACUUCUGUUAAGUGGGAAGAAACGCACGGAAAUAAUACUUCCGUGUAAUGACGGUACCAUUAUAGAAAGCACCGGCUAACUUCGUGCCAGCAGCCGCGGUAAUACGAAGGGUGCUAGCGUUAUUCGGAAUUAUUGGGCGUAAAGGGUGCGCAGGCGGUAUAUUAAGUCAGUCGUUCAAUUUCCC
RNAcentral lists this ribosomal RNA (275 nucleotides) under uncultured bacterium. RNAcentral describes it as "partial 16S ribosomal RNA". It matches the Rfam family "Bacterial small subunit ribosomal RNA", at positions 338 to 605 of the family's 1533-position model. The record is from RNAcentral.